This 368-nucleotide unclassified non-coding RNA is filed under the name Hevea brasiliensis (rubber tree). Lineage: Eukaryota; Viridiplantae; Streptophyta; Magnoliopsida; Malpighiales; Euphorbiaceae. The record is from RNAcentral.
GUGGAGAGUGAUAAGAGUUUAUACCUGAUAUAUAGAGUUGAGAAUCAAUAGUAAUAUACAUAUCAAGGUGUUUUCUAUCACAGCUUCCUUUAAAUAAAGAACACAUAUUCUGUCUUAGAACCCAAUGGAAAAUUGACAACUGCAAUGCUUGGUAUUACUAUAAAUUCUAUAAAAUAAAAAAGAAGUAAUAUCUAUCUACAUCUACAUAUUCAUAUACAUAUCAUGUUAUGACAUGCAUUAAAGCUGCCAGCAACAGUGAAAGGUAAAGCUGCUGAAUGAAUAGUCACAGGUCUUCCAAUGAUAAGCAGCAGCUUUGUCCACCCAGCCAAACGGGCUAAGUAAAUUGGGGCAGGUCAUUUGAAAGCGAG